GUUAACGUAGCAAAGUUUGGUCUUGCAAAAGAUCUAAGCCCUUUUUACAGAGGUUCAAGUCCUCUCGUUAACU
RNAcentral lists this transfer RNA (73 nucleotides) under Hylomantis granulosa (granular leaf frog). RNAcentral's name for it is "tRNA-Leu". It matches the Rfam family "tRNA". From Rfam's summary of the family: Transfer RNA (tRNA) molecules are approximately 80 nucleotides in length. Their secondary structure includes four short double-helical elements and three loops (D, anti-codon, and T loops). Lineage: Eukaryota; Metazoa; Chordata; Amphibia; Anura; Hylidae. The record is from RNAcentral.